GAACACAGGAGCUCUAGACACUGU
This 24-nucleotide non-coding RNA is filed under the name Cricetulus griseus (Chinese hamster). Lineage: Eukaryota; Metazoa; Chordata; Mammalia; Rodentia; Cricetidae. The record is from RNAcentral.